GCGCUAGCGUUAGCGUUCGCUAGCUAGCGUUAGCCCUAACCCUAAUUUUUAAAUCAUGACCUCUACCUCUGAUAUUUAAAAAGAAAUCUUAAGACAUCAUUUUAGCCUGAAUUUUAAGCAAGGUGCCUCCAUUAUUAGUUGAUUUUGCCUAAUGCUAUCUUAAUUUUUGUGCCCUUGCUCACCUGUGGUUUUUGUUUUUGUUGCAGUGUCUUUCUAUCACGUGCAGCACAUUGGGUGUAGACAUGUGCUAUAUAAAUUAAGAUUGAUUAAUUACAUGAAUACCUUUGAGGUCUAAUAAAAUUAAAAUGUUACAUUUUCAUAUUUUUCCAUCCGCUCCCAUUCUAAGCUGCUGUGCCAAUGUGAGGACAGAGAACUACUGCAUAAUAGGAGCAAUAAAAAAAAAAAUCUGAUAAUUUUUUUGACCAAAAUUAUUAGGAAACUAUAGCCCAAGGUUGGAUUUGCCUGAACUUGUACUUUAUUAUUAAAAACAGGUUCCUGUAAUACCUGUGUUAAGCAUGCACAUAUUAAGGAACGUGUCAGUAAUCUACAAACCACGACAUCACUGGAACUUCCUUGUAACUACAAUAUUUUUCUCUUUCAGAACAAGUGCUCAGAGCUACUGAAGAGCUGCUUUGACAACGUGGGCCCAGUGCACUGGAGACAUCCAUUGUUUGGAAAAAUACAGGAAGCUGUUUCCCCGUGGAGCUCCAGCAGUGCUUAGAGGGCUAAAAAACCUUCACCUGACAUCUUAUCAGCAAGGGGAAACCAGAUGUGACAGCGGUACGCACCGUUGUACUCCGAGGCCUCCCUGUUCUACUUGGUUAUGACCCCAGUGACUUCUACAACACCUGCUUCGAUUGUGACACUGAUGAGACCUGGGUAAAAGUAUCUGUCGGGGUGCUGACUGUUCUCCCUGAAGAUCUGCAACUCCUUCCAAAUCAGCUCCACCUUCACCCAAUGUCUACUGCCAUCAUUGUUGAGGGAGGUAUUGUAAUGGAUGAACUCCAGAACCUACCUGAGGCACUUUGACUUUUGUUUGGAAUGUCAUACGCUUUGCAUUUAGACCCUAAAGCCAUGAAAAACACUUUCUGCUUCAUUCAAAGAGUGAU
Long non-coding RNA from Platichthys flesus (European flounder), 1109 nucleotides. RefSeq lists it as uncharacterized. NCBI's taxonomy places the organism in Eukaryota, Metazoa, Chordata, Actinopteri, Pleuronectiformes, Pleuronectidae. The transcript has 4 exons. The record is from RefSeq and is a predicted model, not a curated record.